GGCUCUGUGGCAGGGAGUGGGAGGGUGAUUAACAGGGGAAGAAUUAGGAAAGAGGACACGCAAGACCACAGUAAGAGAUGGAAAUAAGAGAAUAUUCCUGAUUUCCACUGGAUGACUUUGACUGGUAUGAUUUCAUUCUCUGAAAGUGUUAACCAGGGUGCAGCAUGGCCAGAAACCAUUCCGAGCCUCAUGAAGUGGGCAAGUCAGGUUUGGUCAUUUUUGGUAAUGUCAUUGCAUGUACACAGUUUAAGACAGAGCAUCUGGUGAUUCUCGGACCUUCAAGCAAGUGUCACAUCUCAGGUGAACCUUGGCAGUUUUAAGAUGAACAAAGUAAUCAAAGCAAAAAUGUCAAAUAAUAAUAAUAAUAAUGAUAUCAGAAGAAUGUCCAGUGCCAUGGUUGGAUUCCCAGAAGGCAGCAUCUGCUCAUGCCAUCAACAACAUGGUGCCAUUUCAGUCAUCCUCUUUUUGUCCCAAAGACAGAAAAAAAAUAGAAAAAAGAAAGAGAAAAAGACACCACGAACCGUCUAUCCUCCUGGUAAUACAAAUACACCUGUAAAUAAACAUGUCAAUGUCUACACACAACGCACAUUUAUGCAGAAUCCAUCCUCUCGGUGCUUCCGUAGUUAUCAAGUAAAAGUCCUUCUAAGCCUAAGAAAUGAUAGUAUUAAUUCAGUCUUGGGGUGUGGGGGGAAAGGUGGACUAUCAUCAAAUAAAAAAGGCGAGGCUAAUUAAGUGACAUCCACUGGGGACUGGGAAAAGAAGAGACUUCUUGUGGGAAAGUAAUUAUAUCUUCAUUGACCCUCCUGGGGUACCCCCAGUGGCAGGGACUCUGCCUCGCGGUGUGACAUCUCCUUUCGGGAUGAGCAGCCAGUCACCUCGAGAAGCCCCCUUCUCCAUGGAUGCGUUUUCUAAUCAUUUCACAUGAUUGAGCCUCCAGCAAGUGAUGCUUUACUUAAUUCCUUUCCGCCUGUAGGGUGUGAGGUUUGGAGGGCCUCUCGUCAAAACUUUGGAGGGCUCUGUCAGUUUGAAAAGAACAUGACCUUUAAAUUGUAUCAGUAUGUUUGCUGGUGCAUAAGGGAGAGGAAAAGGUUCGUCCUGAUGGAAAACCACUCAGAAGCCAAGGAGUAAUUCAGAGGGAACCAGCCCAGGAAGAAUCAAGAAAGCUGCCCACAGUGUCAUUCUUCAGCUGAGAAAAGAGAGAGUUGACUAACUCCUCGGACUGGAGUGAGGACUCACAGAGGUGGUGAGAAGCCAUCCUCUCUUGAAUGGGGGCUCCCACUGUACAUCUGGCACCCACUUCACAGAUCCAUGAACUGGAAGAUGCUUUCUUAUAACUCAGAGAAAAGAGAUGAAAAUGAAUCAAAGAACAGGAAGGAGACAAGCUCAGGAGAGUCACCCUAAGAAGGAUGUGUGGAAGACUUGACUGGAGGAUCAAAAUGUGUCGGGGGAAGGUGUACAAGGAGGAGUAAGGACACAGAUGUCCUGACUUCACACAGUGGGGGAUUAGAAGCCACCAUCAAACACAGAUGAAACAGGAAUAAAAGUAGUAGUACAUUACUUAAGCUUUAAAAGGGUAAGACUCCUGGGAAUUUGGAAGCUGAGACUUGAGGCAAGUAUUUAGGAUUUGCUGUCUCACCUCCCUGCUAUGACAGUCCUUAAUUAAUGGAGAUGAUGGAGAACAGCUUGCUGGGCUGAGUGGCAGGAGCCAUGCAGCUGCUGGGGCUGGAGUGGGUCAGGAAGCUUCAUCAAUCUGGGACACAUGACGUGCUUGGUGGUGGCGGAGCCUGACGCAUCCCUCUUCAUCGACAUUGUGUCAAUAGGAGCAGAGGCAUUUAGCUGUGUAAACACAGAGCUUCAGUGGCAGCACCCUAAAUGCUUAGCUGAUAGAUCCGGAAUUAAAUACAGACCUAGAAACUGGAGUUGGAAAACUUCCUGGCAGCACUCCUUCCCUGCCAUCCCGGUGAUCCCCUUCUGGAUGGAGGGUGUGGAGCUCAGCACAUUCACGUCUGCAGUUCUCAGAGAACCAAGUGUUAAGGAAUGUCAGGGAAGGAAGAAGGCAGCCAGCCAGGAAGGGGAGGUCCUGGCCUGAGCACGCCAGGCACAGAGGGAUAGAGGGUAGGGAGGAAACUGCACCUGUCUCCAACCCUCGACCCCAGCCCCGAAACACGACAUUGGCUGAAACAGAUUAAAAGCAUAAAAUGGCCCAAAGAAAUGGGAGAAGGUUGGCCUCUGGUCGGGCAAACAUGAGGGCAUGAAGAUAUAUAAUGUCCCACACGGGAGGAAACCCUUGCCGGGCCCCUCAGGAUUUAUAACAAGCUCACCUGAAGGAGAAACUUCAGGGGCACUUACACCAUCAGAUACCUAGAAAGGAGCUGUCAUUUCCUCACUGAAGAGUUUGCAAGCAGAUGGUAAAAGGGGUUUAAUUUGAAAACACUGAAACAUCGUGUUCGCUCAAAACCAUGACAAUUGCAGUUUUAUUGUCUCCACUCAGGAAAAUGUGUGUCUGGAUCAUCUUGUGGCCCGAAUGGGGAGAAAAGCAGCACAAGAAUGGAAUAGUACAGUGGCUACGAACACAGAAACCACACUCCAGGCCCAGUCCCCGGCAGUGGCCUCCAGGACCCACUCUGAGCUAGAUCACAUCAGUGAUGGGCUGGCCAAUCUUUAAGGAGAAUGACUCUACUCUUAGGAAGCCAGCAGGUUGGAGGAGGAAACACAUUCAAAUCCCGAGCACAAGGAGCUGGGAGAAGACCGGUUAUGGGAGCGGCAUUCCUGGAAGCUCUGAAGUCACAGCCCCACUGAUGAAAGGAUGUAAGAACCUAAGAGUGGAAACCUGCCCCUGGGAUUCAUAUGGUGUCCCCUCAGGACUCAAACCCUGGUCUGGUAUGCUCAGUAAAUGAAUGAAUAUACCCACUACACCCCAGGUUAUUUUUUUUCUGAAGACAUCGUUUGACACAGAGGGAACACUGUAGAUAAGAAGCCCAACCCUGUUAGAAAGCAGAAGGGUUUGUUUGGGAAAAGGAAACAAAAUAUAUUUUUAAGCUCCAUAAACAUAUGAUGAAUGCUAACAAGGUAUUUUCAAAAUAAGAAGCACAUAGAAACAGCUUAUGUUUCUGGUCAAAUGAAGUUGUAAUCAAAUCGUUAUCAAAGCAAAAAAAAAGAGAGGAAGAAAUCAAAAUGAGUCAGAAGAGUUUUUGGAAAGAUUCAGCAACUUAACUGACUUGAAGAGAUUUCCCUUGUCUCAGUCUUACUGCUGCUUCUAGGGGAACACAGUUUUGCACGGGAAUCGAGGCCAACUUGCAACCCACAGGCACUCUGGAGGAACAAAGAAAGUAUCGCCUGCAACUCACCACGGUCUCUCUCUCUUAAGCCCUUGCUCUUGCCAGAAGAAGUUUCACACAAAGGUUUGCCUGCGAGGCUGCGCUUUCCUCUCCAGAUCAGCAGAAACAACUUACCAGCAGAAAUACUUAAUGACGGAGCCAAGACUGGCACAGCCACGCGGUCACAGCUUUGUUCCCAAGAAGCAAGCCAAUUAGCAGCCCUGGUUAUUAUUUACAUUUCCCGCAAUAUAUCACUAAAAUUGUGUUGAUGAUUUAUCAUUUAUAUUAUGUUAUUGUCAGCAUAAUUUAUUCAGAUCAUGCUGAGAUACCUGGAAAAUUAAGUAAAAGAAAAAGAAGUGGCAUUGAAUUCAUCGGGUUUGAAAGAUAUUUCUCAGCUUCUUUUUUCUCUCCCUCUCUUUCUCUCUCUCUCUCUCUUUUAAUGAGGAUAGAUGUUAAGAAAAAUCAUGGAUCACUUAGCUAUUAAAUUGUUCCAGGAUCAUCUGCAUUAAAAGUUUGCUCAGUAUUCUUUUGUGAGAGAACAUGGCUUGGGCGUUCAUUUGGAUUUUCUUCUGGAACCUUUUCUUUCAGUCUAUUAUUUCAAAGUAAAAAAAAAAGGAAAUGCAAUCCUCUUUAGUUUAGAGCAAAGCAGAGUGGAUUAAUGAGGGGCUGGAGGCUUCUCUUCCAAUUUAUAAAACAUCCUUAUCUUCUGCCUUAUAUUCUAUUUGCCCCACCCUCUGGGAAAUAAUUGUUGCUUAUCAGAAUUAGAGAUAAAAUAUUCCAGUUGUUGAAGCCAUUCAUCAUCUAGGCAUUCUAGAAAAGCAGUUACUGAACUAGAGGCAGCAUUUUGAGCAUCAGAGCUCUGGGUUCUAGUCCCAGGUCUGUCCAGGCUUUGUGUGAUUCCAGGAGUCACUGAAGCUAUCCUGCUUCUGUUUCCCCAGCAGUGGGAUUCAUGGAUGUCCAGGAUCAGGCUUGCUGGGUCUGCCCCAGGUCUUCAGAAUCAGACUGCCUGGGGAAGGCACAUGGAGGUCUUUUUGACAGGUGUCAUAGGUGAUACUUCUACACACUUCAGUUAGAAAAGUCAUUGGGCUUACAUAUGCCUGCAGCCACUUCCAGCUCCAGUCUUCCUAGAGUUCUACGGACUCUAAUUAUAUGGCAUGUUUUGCAUAUUUCUGAAACUUCAUAUGGGAAACAAACUUUUGGAAAUUGAUUCAUUUAAGAAUCUGUGGCCAGGCGUGGUGGCUCACGACUGUAAUCCCAGCACUUUGGGAGGCUGA
This 4591-nucleotide long non-coding RNA is filed under the name Homo sapiens (human). RNAcentral describes it as "HSALNT0397370". Lineage: Eukaryota; Metazoa; Chordata; Mammalia; Primates; Hominidae. The record is from RNAcentral.